This 1439-nucleotide ribosomal RNA is filed under the name uncultured bacterium. RNAcentral describes it as "bacterial SSU rRNA". It matches the Rfam family "Bacterial small subunit ribosomal RNA". The record is from RNAcentral.
CAGGCUUAACACAUGCAAGUCGAGGGGCAGCAUGGUCUUAGCUUGCUAAGGCCGAUGGCGACCGGCGCACGGGUGAGUAACACGUAUCCAACCUGCCGUCUACUCUUGGACAGCCUUCUGAAAGGAAGAUUAAUACAAGAUGGCAUCAUGAGUCCGCAUGUUCACAUGAUUAAAGGUAUUCCGGUAGACGAUGGGGAUGCGUUCCAUUAGAUAGUAGGCGGGGUAACGGCCCACCUAGUCUUCGAUGGAUAGGGGUUCUGAGAGGAAGGUCCCCCACAUUGGAACUGAGACACGGUCCAAACUCCUACGGGAGGCAGCAGUGAGGAAUAUUGGUCAAUGGGCGAGAGCCUGAACCAGCCAAGUAGCGUGAAGGAUGACUGCCCUAUGGGUUGUAAACUUCUUUUAUAAAGGAAUAAAGUCGGGUAUGGAUACCCGUUUGCAUGUACUUUAUGAAUAAGGAUCGGCUAACUCCGUGCCAGCAGCCGCGGUAAUACGGAGGAUCCGAGCGUUAUCCGGAUUUAUUGGGUUUAAAGGGAGCGUAGAUGGAUGUUUAAGUCAGUUGUGAAAGUUUGCGGCUCAACCGUAAAAUUGCAGUUGAUACUGGAUAUCUUGAGUGCAGUUGAGGCAGGCGGAAUUCGUGGUGUAGCGGUGAAAUGCUUAGAUAUCACGAAGAACUCCGAUUGCGAAGGCAGCCUGCUAAGCUGCAACUGACAUUGAGGCUCGAAAGUGUGGGUAUCAAACAGGAUUAGAUACCCUGGUAGUCCACACGGUAAACGAUGAAUACUCGCUGUUUGCGAUAUACUGCAAGCGGCCAAGCGAAAGCGUUAAGUAUUCCACCUGGGGAGUACGCCGGCAACGGUGAAACUCAAAGGAAUUGACGGGGGCCCGCACAAGCGGAGGAGCAUGUGGUUUAAUUCGAUGAUACGCGAGGAACCUUACCCGGGCUUAAAUUGCAGAUGAAUUACGGUGAAAGCCGUAAGCCGCAAGGCAUCUGUGAAGGUGCUGCAUGGUUGUCGUCAGCUCGUGCCGUGAGGUGUCGGCUUAAGUGCCAUAACGAGCGCAACCCUUGUUGUCAGUUACUAACAGGUUCCGCUGAGGACUCUGACAAGACUGCCAUCGUAAGAUGUGAGGAAGGUGGGGAUGACGUCAAAUCAGCACGGCCCUUACGUCCGGGGCUACACACGUGUUACAAUGGGGGGUACAGAGGGCCGCUACCACGCGAGUGGAUGCCAAUCCCCAAAACCUCUCUCAGUUCGGACUGGAGUCUGCAACCCGACUCCACGAAGCUGGAUUCGCUAGUAAUCGCGCAUCAGCCACGGCGCGGUGAAUACGUUCCCGGGCCUUGCACACACCGCCCGUCAAGCCAUGGGAGCCGGGGGUACCUGAAGUGCGUAACCGCGAGGAGCGCCCUAGGGUAAAACUGGUGACUGGGGCUAAGA